Equus caballus (horse) is the source of this 301-nucleotide non-coding RNA. The record is from RefSeq and is a predicted model, not a curated record. NCBI's taxonomy places the organism in Eukaryota, Metazoa, Chordata, Mammalia, Perissodactyla, Equidae.
UUCUGGUCUCCCAGACAACCCCUCUCAGGUUCUGGUGGCUUGUCUCCCCUCUCUAGCUCAGAGACCCAGGAAAGGGAGAGAGAGGUCACGUGAAUGAACGCGUGUGGCUCAGUCCCCAUGGCCAUGAACUUUCAGGAAAAUGUAACCCUGGCCAUGGCCGUAUUCACCAUCCUCGCCUCCAUCUACUUCUUCAACAAGGCUCAGCAAUGAGAAGACACAGGAUUCCCCAAUCCCAGAGCCCGGCCUUCGCCCCGGACCGUGACUCCGGCCUCUGAGACCAAAUAAAUGUGACCGAUCAGCA